AAAUAUGAAGGCGGGCUGGAACCUCUCGGGGUUACAGCCUUGCUGAAUUAUUCACCCUUGUCUUUUGCGUACUUCUUGUUUCCUUGGUGGGUUCGCCCACCACUAGGACAAACAUAAACCUUUUGUAAUUGCAAUCAGCGUCAGUAACAAAUUAAUAAUCCCAACUUUCAACAACGGAUCUCUUGGUUCUGGCAUCGAUGAAGAACGCAGCGAAAUGCGAUAAGUAGUGUGAAUUGCAGAAUUCAGUGAAUCAUCGAAUCUUUGAACGCACAUUGCGCCCUUUGGUAUUCCAAAGGGCAUGCCUGUUCGAGCGUCAUUUGUACCCUCAAGCUUUGCUUGGUGUUGGGCGUCUUGUCUCUAGCUUUGCUGGAGACUCGCCUUAAAGUAAUUGGCAGCCGGCCUACUGGUUUCGGAGCGCAGCACAAGUCGCACUCUCUAUCAGCAAAGGUCUAGCAUCCAUUAAGCCUUUUUUUUCAACUUUUGACCUCGGAUCAGGUAGGGAUACCCGCUGAACUUAAGCAUAUCAAUAAGCGGAGGAA
This 539-nucleotide ribosomal RNA is filed under the name uncultured organism. RNAcentral describes it as "eukaryotic LSU rRNA". The stretch from base 163 to 316 matches the Rfam family "5.8S ribosomal RNA". The record is from RNAcentral.